This 84-nucleotide transfer RNA is filed under the name Candidatus Pacearchaeota archaeon. RNAcentral's name for it is "tRNA-Leu". It matches the Rfam family "tRNA". From Rfam's summary of the family: Transfer RNA (tRNA) molecules are approximately 80 nucleotides in length. Their secondary structure includes four short double-helical elements and three loops (D, anti-codon, and T loops). Lineage: Archaea; Nanobdellati. The record is from RNAcentral.
GCGAGGGUUCCGGAGUGGUCAAACGGGCAGGACUUAAGAUCCUGUGGCUUAGUGCCUUCGAGGGUUCGAAUCCUUCCCCUCGCA